RNAcentral lists this ribosomal RNA (255 nucleotides) under uncultured bacterium. RNAcentral describes it as "partial 16S ribosomal RNA". It matches the Rfam family "Bacterial small subunit ribosomal RNA", at positions 524 to 776 of the family's 1533-position model. The record is from RNAcentral.
UACGAAGGGUGCAAGCGUUAAUCGGAAUUACUGGGCGUAAAGGGUGCGUAGGCGGUUGUUUAAGUCUGUCGUGAAAUCCCCCGGGCUCAACCUGGGAAUGGCGAUGGAUACUGGACAGCUAGAGUGUGUCAGAGGAUGGUGGAAUUCCCGGUGUAGCGGUGAAAUGCGUAGAGAUCGGGAGGAACAUCAGUGGCGAAGGCGGCCAUCUGGGGACAACACUGACGCUGAAGCACGAAAGCGUGGGGAGCAAACAGG